UACAGAGGGUGCGAACGUUGCUCGGAAUUACUGGGCGUAAAGCGCGUGUAGGCGGAUUGCUAAGUCGGGCGUGAAAGCCCCAGGCUCAACCUGGGAACUGCGCUCGAAACUGGCAGUCUUGAGUAUCGGAGAGGGUGGCGGAAUUCCUGGUGUAGAGGUGAAAUUCGUAGAUAUCAGGAGGAACACCGGUGGCGAAGGCGGCCACCUGGACGAUCACUGACGCUGAGACGCGAAAGCGUGGGGAGCAAACAGG
RNAcentral lists this ribosomal RNA (253 nucleotides) under uncultured bacterium. Its description in RNAcentral is "partial 16S ribosomal RNA". It matches the Rfam family "Bacterial small subunit ribosomal RNA", at positions 524 to 776 of the family's 1533-position model. The record is from RNAcentral.